UGCAAAUCCUGAUUCUGAAGCUCCUGGACUAAUGACAAUCAUAUCCCUUGCCCUUCAAUCUCUUUUUCGACAGCCACCCUAACCCAGAAUCCUAAACAAGAGGCGUAGCCAUGAUAGGAUCUCUCUCCUAUUUCCCUUCUGAGUGUUGUCCAUUGCUUCUAGCCUAUUCCCAUCUUUCUUGUCCUGACCCAAGUCACCUUCCUGGGGAAGGGCCCCCUCCUCUGCCUGUUUCUGUACCAGCACCUACCUUUUCCCUAUCAACAGCUCGCUUUCCUGGUUCAUUCCAUUCCUUAAUAUGUAUCAACUCAAUUUAAUAAGCAAGUGUUUAUUUAGCAAUAGAACUGGGUCAGACCCUAUCGUGCCCUUGAGGAGGAAGGCAAACUAGAAGCUGUGAUUAAGUUAACAGAUAAGACAAAUAAAUAACAGGAUAUAUAAGGUGAGGAGAGACCUUAGUGACUGCCCAGCUCAGUUCCUCAUUUUAUAAGUAAUGUUUAAGAGCAAUGACCCACUCCUACUUUCAGCAAAGAGGUGCACAUAGCAUAGACCCAUAGAAGAGGAAGGAUCUGAGAAGGAGUUUGAAAAAAGUGUAGGAGAGGCUGCGAGAAAACAAGGCAGGUGUCCUGGCUGAGGGCAGGAAGGAGACAUUGCGAUGGAAAUUGUGCCCCAUUUUCUUGGAGGAUUGGGAAGAGGACCUGUGGACUGGGCGGCCCACACAACUGCUGUAACCUCAGGCAGUUUUCAAGCAGAUUGACCUUCCUGCUGGAACACGGCACAUGAGGUGAAGUUCUCCUCUACCCAGGAGAAAAUGAACAGCUGGACAAUGCUCCUGGUCAGUAGGCCUGAAGGAUGCUGGGAUGCAGCCCUCAAGAUGGAACAGCCAGGAUGCCAAGUAUCCCUCUUGCCCAGAUCCUAAGGCACUUUUUCUACUGAUCCAUAUUGGCCUCAGGAGAUGUCUCAACACAGCACCCCAGCCAAUGGAGCUGCCACAUAAGAUGAACUCUUGAUCAUCUCUAAACUAGAGAGUUAAACUCAACACUAGCAAACGACUUUGGGUUUAUGCAUAUGUCAUGUUUUCUCUGGCAACUGCACAGAAUCAUCUCUAAAUAUCACAUCUAUGGUUGGCAGGAGUGGCAUGUAUAAUACAAAAUGUCUGGUGGCCCUACUGUCACAAAACCUGUAUAAAAGUAAAUUCACAAAUGGCUUUUUAGAACUGAUGACAAAAAGUUACUCGUUAUCACUUUUCUAAUUAAUUUCCUAAAAGGGCAAUUUGAAAUCAUACUGGGAUUCUCACAAUUUUGGUUGACAGUCAAGUAAAUUGCAGCUACUUAUCAAGCACUUUUGAAUGAAUACAUGAAGAAUGAAUAAAAUGAAAGCUCUCCUGUUGCCCUCAGCAUCACCAGUGUUCUGUAUUUCUUCCUGUAACCUUUCCAUUGGUUUAAAAACCUUUCUCAAGUGAAAGCAAUCUCUUUAAAAACUGCAACAUACUGCUGAUGAGUUUUUGCUGUGGAAACAUUCUCUAUGCCUGCAAACCAAAUCACCCUCUCUCUUUUCCUGGGAAGCACAUCUUUCUCAGAGCAGAGCUUUGCAAAAAGGGGAAACCAAAGCUUCCACGAGGUGAUAGUUACAGCUGCUCUCUCUUCCUGUUGCCCCAGGUGCCAAGGUGCAGAGGGGCAAGGCGGCAAGGCCUAGCCUGGGCAGAACUUGUCUGUCGUUAACUUUGCAAACUGACUUUCUGAACAACUGUGGUUUAU
RNAcentral lists this long non-coding RNA (1751 nucleotides) under Homo sapiens (human). RNAcentral describes it as "HSALNT0304276". The record is from RNAcentral. Lineage: Eukaryota; Metazoa; Chordata; Mammalia; Primates; Hominidae.